GUGGUUUGUCGCGUCUCUGUGAAAUCCGGGGCUUAACUCCGGGCGUGCAGGCGAUACGGGCAUAACUUGAGUGCUGUAGGGGAGACUGGAAUUCCUGGUGUAGCGGUGAAAUGCGCAGAUAUCAGGAGGAACACCGAUGGCGAAGGCAGGUCUCUGGGCAGUUACUGACGCUGAGGAGCGAAAGCAUGGGUAGCGAACAGGAUUAGAUACCCUGGUAGUCCAUGCCGUAAACGGUGGGCGCUAGGUGUAGGGGGCUUCCACGUCUUCUGUGCCGUAGCUAACGCAUUAAGCGCCCCGCCUGGGGAGUACGGCCGCAAGGCUAAAACUCAAAGGAAUUGACGGGGGCCCGCACAAGCGGCGGAGCAUGUGGAUUAAUUCGAUGCAACGCGAAGAACCUUACCUGGGCUUGACAUACACCAGAUCGCUGCAGAGAUGUAGUUUCCCUUGUGGUUGGUGUACAGGUGGUGCAUGGUUGUCGUCAGCUCGUGUCGUGAGAUGUUGGGUUAAGUCCCGCAACGAGCGCAACCCUUGUCUUAUGUUGCCAGCAUUUGGUUGGGGACUCAUGAGAGACUGCCGGGGUUAACUCGGAGGAAGGUGGGGAUGACGUCAAAUCAUCAUGCCCCUUAUGUCCAGGGCUUCACACAUGCUACAAUGGUCGGUACAACGCGCAGCGACACUGUGAGGUGGAGCGAAUCGCUGAAAGCCGGUCUUAGUUCGGAUUGGGGUCUGCAACUCGACCCCAUGAAGUCGGAGUCGCUAGUAAUC
This 765-nucleotide ribosomal RNA is filed under the name uncultured bacterium. RNAcentral describes it as "bacterial SSU rRNA". It matches the Rfam family "Bacterial small subunit ribosomal RNA", at positions 575 to 1343 of the family's 1533-position model. The record is from RNAcentral.